GCUUGAUGCAUUUCAUUUCGGAUCUCAACCAAGCUUUCAGACUUUAAAUCUUGUUGAAGAUGUGCAAAGACGUAUCAUCAGCCAACAUCUGACGAAGCAAUGAGUUUGAUGUGUGUGUUAAGAAUAUAUAAAACAUGCCUGAGAUGUUGAUGCUUGUGGCUAGUAGAAGCUCACAGCCUUCUCAUGGUCACAAGCUUACAAUCAACAAAGAGCUUCUCUGUUCCCAGGGAGGAAACACCCGGAUGUUCGCCUUUCCUAGUUCCUACUAAUAAAAACGUUUCAUUUGUAGAGUAAAUAAAAUUUAAUAAAAACUUCAAACCGAA
Tachysurus fulvidraco (yellow catfish) is the source of this 323-nucleotide long non-coding RNA. RefSeq lists it as uncharacterized. The transcript has 2 exons. The record is from RefSeq and is a predicted model, not a curated record. NCBI's taxonomy places the organism in Eukaryota, Metazoa, Chordata, Actinopteri, Siluriformes, Bagridae.